Molecule: small nuclear RNA, 107 nt
Organism: Neogale vison (American mink)
Lineage: Eukaryota; Metazoa; Chordata; Mammalia; Carnivora; Mustelidae
Source: Ensembl
CUUAAGAAACACAGGUCAAGAAUUGGUUUUGCUGGAACAAUACAGAGAAUAUUAGCAUAGCCCUUGCGCAAGAUGACAUGCGAACUCAUGAAGUGUUCCAUAUUAAA